GAUGAACGCUAGCUACCGGUUUAACACAUGCAAGUCGAGGGGCAGCAUGAAAGGAACUUCGGUUCUUUUUGAUGGCGACCGGCGCACGGGUGCGUAACGCGUAUCGAACCUGCCUCAUACUCGGGGAUAGCCUUGCGAAAGUAAGAUUAAUACCCGGCGGUCUCGGAUGGCCGCAUGACUGUCCGAGUGAAGAUUUAUCGGUAUGAGAUGGCGAUGCGUCCCAUUAGCUUGUUGGUGAGGUAAUGGCUCACCAAGGCAUCGAUGGGUAGGGGUUCUGAGAGGAAGGUCCCCCACAUUGGAACUGAGACACGGUCCAAACUCCUACGGGAGGCAGCAGUGAGGAAUAUUGGUCAAUGGACGAAAGUCUGAACCAGCCAAGUAGCGUGCAGGACGACGGCCCUCUGGGUUGUAAACUGCUUUUAGUUGGGAAUAAAAAGAGGGACGUGUCCCUUAUUGUAUGUACCAUCAGAAAAAGGACCGGCUAAUUCCGUGCCAGCAGCCGCGGUAAUACGGAAGGUCCAGGCGUUAUCCGGAUUUAUUGGGUUUAAAGGGAGCGCAGGCGGCGGCGUAAGUCAGUUGUGAAAUCGUGCGGCUUAACCGUGCAAUUGCAGUUGAUACUGCGUCGCUUGAGUGCACACAGGGAUGUUGGAAUUCAUGGUGUAGCGGUGAAAUGCUUAGAUAUCAUGAAGAACUCCGAUCGCGAAGGCAUAUGUCCGGAGUGCAACUGACGCUGAGGCUCGAAAGUGUGNGUAUCAAACAGG
This 761-nucleotide ribosomal RNA is filed under the name uncultured bacterium. Its description in RNAcentral is "bacterial SSU rRNA". It matches the Rfam family "Bacterial small subunit ribosomal RNA", at positions 28 to 776 of the family's 1533-position model. The record is from RNAcentral.